GCUGGCGGCACGCCUAACACAUGCAAGUCGAACGAAGUAGUAAUACUUAGUGGCAGACGGGUGAGUAACAUGUGGGUAUCUUCCCUUUGGCCUGGAAUAACACGAGGAAACUUGUGCUAAUACCGGAUAAGUCUUUACGGAGAAAGCUUUAUGCACCAUUGGAUGAGCCCGCACUUGAUUAGUUUGUUGGUAGGGUAAUGGCCUACCAAGACUGUGAUCAAUAGCUGAUUUGAGAGGAUGAUCAGCCACAUUGGGACUGAGACACGGCCCAAACUCCUACGGGAGGCAGCAGUGGGGAAUCUUGCACAAUGGAGGAAACUCUGAUGCAGCGAUGCCGCGUGAGUGAAGAAGGCCUUUGGGUUGUAAAGCUCUUUCGUCGGGGAAGAAAAUGACUGUACCCGAAUAAGAAGGUCCGGCUAACUUCGUGCCAGCAGCCGCGGUAAUACGAAGGGACCUAGCGUAGUUCGGAAUUACUGGGCUUAAAGAGUUCGUAGGUGGUUGAAAAAGUUGGUGGUGAAAUCCCAGAGCUUAACUCUGGAACUGCCAUCAAAACUUUUCAGCUAGAGUUUGAUAGAGGAAAGCAGAAUUUCUAGUGUAGAGGUGAAAUUCGUAGAUAUUAGAAAGAAUACCAAUUGCGAAGGCAGCUUUCUGGAUCAUUACUGACACUGAGGAACGAAAGCAUGGGUAGCGAAGAGGAUUAGAUACCCUCGUAGUCCAUGCCGUAAACGAUGUGUGUUAGACGUUGGAAAUUUAUUUUCAGUGUCGCAGCGAAAGCGAUAAACACACCGCCUGGGGAGUACG
This 801-nucleotide ribosomal RNA is filed under the name uncultured Pelagibacteraceae bacterium. RNAcentral's name for it is "bacterial SSU rRNA". It matches the Rfam family "Bacterial small subunit ribosomal RNA", at positions 35 to 884 of the family's 1533-position model. Lineage: Bacteria; Pseudomonadati; Pseudomonadota; Alphaproteobacteria; Candidatus Pelagibacterales; Candidatus Pelagibacteraceae. The record is from RNAcentral.